This is a small nucleolar RNA of Tachyglossus aculeatus (Australian echidna), 138 nucleotides long. NCBI's taxonomy places the organism in Eukaryota, Metazoa, Chordata, Mammalia, Monotremata, Tachyglossidae. The record is from RefSeq and is a predicted model, not a curated record.
CCCCUCUCAGGGUCAUACCUGGAGAAUUUCCAGUCCUCUACCAGUCUCGACUAUGGGAGGGAGAGGCAAGCAGAGGUACACCCAUUCUAUUCCUAGCUUGGGCAGUGGCUACCGAAUGGAAGGCAAUCUGCUACAAAG